This 1647-nucleotide ribosomal RNA is filed under the name Fonsecaea multimorphosa. RNAcentral's name for it is "SSU rRNA". It matches the Rfam family "Eukaryotic small subunit ribosomal RNA". The record is from RNAcentral. Lineage: Eukaryota; Fungi; Ascomycota; Eurotiomycetes; Chaetothyriales; Herpotrichiellaceae.
AUUGAUAGUACCUUUACCUGGAAACCGUGGUAAUUCUAGAGCUAAUACAUGCUAAAAACCCCGACUUCGGGAGGGGUGUAUUUAUUAGAUAAAAAACCAAUGCCCUCUGGGCUCCUUGGUGAUUCAUAAUAACUUAACGAAUCGCAUGGCCUUGCGCCGGCGAUGGUUCAUUCAAAUUUCUGCCCUAUCAACUUUCGAUUGUAGGAUAGAGGCCUACAAUGGUCUUAACGGGUAACGGGGAAUUAGGGUUCGACUCCGGAGAGGGAGCCUGAGAAACGGCUACCACAUCCAAGGAAGGCAGCAGGCGCGCAAAUUACCCAAUGCUAAUUCAGCGAGGUAGUGACAAUAAAUACUGAUACGGGGCUCUUUCGGGUCUCGUAAUUGGAAUGAGUACAAUCUAAAUCCCUUAACGAGGAACAAUUGGAGGGCAAGUCUGGUGCCAGCAGCCGCGGUAAUUCCAGCUCCAAUAGCGUAUAUUAAAGUUGUUGCCGUUAAAAAGCUCGUAGUUGAACCUUGGACCUGGCUGAUCUGUCCUCCUAAUCGAGCGCACGGAUUCGGUCGGGUCUUUCCUUCUGGGGAGCCCCAUGCCCUUCACUGGGUGUGGUGGGGAACCAGGACUUUUACCUUGAAAAAAUUAGAGUGUUCAAAGCAGGCCUUUGCUCGAAUACAUUAGCAUGGAAUAAUAGAAUAGGACAUCGGUUCUAUUUUGUUGGUUUCUAGGACCGCUGUAAUGAUUAAUAGGGAUAGUCGGGGGCGUCAGUAUUCAAUUGUCAGAGGUGAAAUUCUUGGAUUUAUUGAAGACUAACUACUGCGAAAGCAUUCGCCAAGGAUGUUUUCAUUAAUCAGUGAACGAAAGUUAGGGGAUCGAAGACGAUCAGAUACCGUCGUAGUCUUAACCAUAAACUAUGCCGACUAGGGAUCGGACGGUGGUUUUUUUAUGCCCCGUUCGGCACCUUACGAGAAAUCAAAGUUUUUGGGCUCGGGGGGGAGUAUGGUCGCAAGGCUGAAACUUAAAGAAAUUGACGGAAGGGCACCACCAGGCCCUGCGGCUUAAUUUGACUCAACACGGGGAAACUCACCAGGUCCAGACAUGCUUAGGAUUGACAGAUUGAUAGCUCUUUCUUGAUUGUAUGGGUGGUGGUGCAUGGCCGUUCUUAGUUGGUGGAGUGAUUUGUCUGCUUAAUUGCGAUAACGAACGAGACCUUGACCUGCUAAAUAGCCAGGUUGACUUUUGUCGGCCGCCGGCUUCUUAGAGGGACUUUUGGCUCAAGCCAAUGGAAGUACGAGGCAAUAACAGGUCUGUGAUGCCCUUAGAUGUUCUGGGCUGCACGCGCGCUACACUGACAGAGCCAGCGAGUACAUCACCUUGGCCGAAAGGUCUGGGUAAUCUUGUUAAACUCUGUCGUGCUGGGGAUAGAGCAUUGCAAUUAUUGCUCUUCAACGAGGAAUGCCUAGUAAGCGCAAGUCAUCAGCUUGCGUUGAUUACGUCCCUGCCCUUUGUACACACCGCCCGUCGCUACUACCGAUUGAAUGGCUCAGUGAGGCCUUGGGACUGGCUCAGAGAGGUCGGCAACGACCACUCAGAGCCGGAAACUUGGUCAAACUUGGUCAUUUAGAGGAAGUAAAAGUCGUAACAAGGUUUAACUC